GGCAGUAUACUCGUUGCUUCCGUUAAUAGAGAAGGUAGUGAUAACUGUACUGCAAUUCUACAAGUAUUUUUGAAUCGUCAUGAUACGCAUCUGAAAUGUCAAUCCUUGGGAACCUCAAGCAAUCAAACAAUGUUACUACCACUAAAGUACUAAAUAUUGACUAACUUCAUAUCCUUCAUUUAUUAUCCUGCCUAUGUUAUAAGACUCCAGUUCAUUGUAAUCGUCAUAUUACUGUUUGAUUGCCUGCUAAAAGAAAGACCAGAAGAAGCGUACUCCAUGUUCAGCAACGAAACGUUUCUUAUUUAUUUCCGAGAACUAUGAUUAUUAUUAUUAAUAUUAUUGUUACAAACUUGCAUAAUCUUACCCAUCUAAGUUGAGUGGAUUUAAAAAUUAGAAUUUUCCUCAACCUCAUACGGGAAUUCUAAUACAUCGGUUAGGUGCAAACGAAAAAGGUCGCCGAAAAGACACGUGAAAUAUUAUUUUUUAUAUAUAAAGCAGAAAAACUAGAAUUCUUAAAAUAAAAAAUUAGCUAUACACAUAUAUACUUUAUCUUCUAGGAGAAAUAUCUAAACAACACGAAAAGAAACCACGCGCAAACCAGAAAAAAACAUGCGGGUAGGUGUUGUGUACACGAACGGUAAUUCAGAAGUGAAAACAAACCAUAUUAGAAAGUCAACUGAGAAAAGAUUUAAAAAUUAAUAAUAUAAUACAUUUUAAGCUUUCCAUUAAGAAAGCAACAGAGACAAUGAAAUCAGACUCCAUUUUUCGGAUUAAUGACAAAUACGUUCACACCCAGCGCAGAGUAAAAACCAACCCUGCAAGGCAAUAUUGGCAACCAUAAAAUAUUUGUGAAUAAAAUUGUUUUUUUUUUCGAGGACAGGUGAUAAAUGACGAAAACAAAUACAUGAAUUCUAACGCAUAA
Armigeres subalbatus is the source of this 922-nucleotide long non-coding RNA. RefSeq lists it as uncharacterized. The record is from RefSeq and is a predicted model, not a curated record. NCBI's taxonomy places the organism in Eukaryota, Metazoa, Arthropoda, Insecta, Diptera, Culicidae. The transcript is spliced from 2 exons.